This 253-nucleotide ribosomal RNA is filed under the name uncultured bacterium. RNAcentral describes it as "partial 16S ribosomal RNA". It matches the Rfam family "Bacterial small subunit ribosomal RNA", at positions 524 to 776 of the family's 1533-position model. The record is from RNAcentral.
UACGUAGGUGGCAAGCGUUGUCCGGAUUUACUGGGCGUAAAGCGCGCGCAGGCGGACUGAUCAGUCUGGGGUGAAAUCUCCCGGCUCAACUGGGAGCGGUCCCUGGAUACUGUCAGUCUUGAGAGACCUAGAGGAGAGCGGAAUUCCCGGUGUAGUGGUGGAAUGCGUAGAUAUCCGGAAGAACACCGGUGGCGAAGGCGGCCUGCUGGGCAGUGGCUGACACUGAGGCGCGACAGCGUGGGGAGCAAACAGG